Molecule: ribosomal RNA, 468 nt
Filed under: uncultured bacterium
Lineage: Bacteria
Description: partial 16S ribosomal RNA
Rfam family: Bacterial small subunit ribosomal RNA
Source: RNAcentral
GACGAACGCUGGCGGCGUGCUUAACACAUGCAAGUCGAACGGAAAGGCCCUGCUUUUGUGGGGUGCUCGAGUGGCGAACGGGUGAGUAACACGUGAGUAACCUGCCCUUGACUUUGGGAUAACUUCAGGAAACUGGGGCUAAUACCGGAUAGGAGCUCCUGCUGCAUGGUGGGGGUUGGAAAGUUUCGGCGGUUGGGGAUGGACUCGCGGCUUAUCAGCUUGUUGGUGGGGUAGUGGCUUACCAAGGCUUUGACGGGUAGCCGGCCUGAGAGGGUGACCGGCCACAUUGGGCCUGGGAUGCGGCCCAGCCUCCUCCGGGAGGCAGCAGUGGGGAAUAUUGCACAAUGGGCGGAGGCCUGAUGCAGCACCGCCGCGUGCGGGAUGACGGCCUUCGGGUUGUAAACCGCUUUCGCCUGUGCCGAAGCGUGAGUGACGGUACUGGGUAAAGAAGCACCGGCUAACUACGUG